Equus caballus (horse) is the source of this 3305-nucleotide long non-coding RNA. Lineage: Eukaryota; Metazoa; Chordata; Mammalia; Perissodactyla; Equidae. The record is from Ensembl.
AGAAAUACAACAUGCAAAAUUAUUAAUGUUUGGCAAAAAAAGGUACAUAAAAUUAAAAUCUUAAUUUUUUUGAAACUUCCAGAUGAGUAUUGUUUGAUCUGGACUUCCUUUCUAUAGUCCAAGUGUUUUCUUCUCAUUCAUUACGAAACAAAAAAUUAACUCUAGUUUAGCUUUUUAUUUCUUCCUAGAUAUUAUCUUUAACUUGCUAUGGUCCCACGUCUCCUAAAGCCAUUGAAGAUGAUGCAUUUGUUUACAGCGACGCUUCAAAUAUUUUCUUAAAAACUAUUUCAGUUUUGGCAAGAUUCAGAAUCCAUAAACACAUUCUGUCAUGCAUUCUCUUACUGUUUACAUAUUUCCUUAAAAGCAGGGAUUUUCCUUCUGUUUUUGAGUUACGUUUAUGCCCUUUCUUAUUUGCUUUAUAGCUUGCUGCCACGAGACAAAAAUCUGUCCAAAGAAAAGAAUAAUUCCUAUCUCCUCCCUCAAAAUUUCUAAUAAGUCUCCUCGUAUAUUCCGGAAUCUCUUUCUUCUUGAAGGACUCAAAUGGGCCUUGAAAAUCCAUGUUGUCACAUGUUUAUCAGAGGAGAGGAAAAGGCCCUCAAGCGUUCAUAUCCUUGCAUCAGGGUUGUUAGGGGGCAGCGCCGUGGGAACCAGGCUUGCAGGCUUCCCCUGGGAGAAAGAUACCACAAGGCAAGGUCUCGGAAAAGGGGAGAAGAAUGAGUUCGUCACCGAAGCUGGAACGUGGCUUAAAGUGAGGAAUGGCGGCUCACUGCGUUGUGUAGUUGUGAGUGUGUAAUAAUAAAAGGAGCCCUACAGCAUCCGUCCCUAAGGCACUUUUUAAUUUAUUUUUUUUGUCCUGGAUGCACAAUCACCCACAGCAAGAGGCGUGCCAUUCUCACACGCGGGCCGACCUGCGCUCCUGGACGCGGUCGGGCGCGUCUCGAGGACCCGCCUGUGGCUGUGACGAUGGAGGCACCGCCACGUGCAGCCGGCCUCUGCCUCUCGACGGGGAGGGGGCGGGUGGGGGCCGGCGGGGGCGGCGCAGGGUCUCCCCUGCGAGGCCAGGCGGAGGUUCGCGGCUCCAGGUGCCCGCUCUGCUCCUCCCAGAAGCUGGACUCACGGGAAACGCAGGCCCGGCCGCCCCGCGAGCCCUCUAUUUACAGCCAGGGCUUGUGAAGGAGGCGGCGCUGAGAAGGCAGCCUUGGGAGGUCCAAGGCGUCUGAAGAUUUCAUCAGGACGUGCCCCCUGCGGCUCCUCCCCGGGGUUUGGGGUCACGAGGAUGUUGCCGCCUGGGACCCCUCCUGGUUACUGCCGUGAACCCGCCGGGCGCGGGGCCUCCUGCCACCUCGACGUCCGGGCUCCAGGCUCCCGGAUCUGGGCCCUUCUCGACAAAGCCGCAAGAGACCCGUGGCCCCUACUUAGAGAGCAGAGCUACCAAACGCCUGGUCACUCAGGCCAGUGACCUCCCACGGGCAUCCUGGGGUCCCCCCUCUUCUCCAGCCUACCUUGAAGACGCUAAAUUUGAAACAGGCUGCGAGUCUUUCCGCCCCCAUCCUGCUCUCCAGUGGGCAGCUCCGUCGUUGCUGGGGUCACUGUCCCCCUAUCCUCUGCCUACCCAGAAAUCUACUCUCAACAUCCACCCAGAGCCAGAGAGAGCUCCGGGAAAUCAAAUGAGCUCCUCUCACCUGGAGAAUGUCAACCAUGUGAGAGAAGAAACUGUCUGUUCGCUGUGGAUCCCUGCUCUGAGAACGGGGUCAGCCACAGGAUCAACACUGGGACAGUGGCCGAGGAAAACAGAAAAACGCCGCUGGGCACUCAACCCCCCUCUCGGUUUCCCCAUCUGUAAAAUGGGGCUGAUAACAGUACUGGCCUCCUCAGUUGUUGUGAGGGUGAAGUGAGAUAAUAAAGGGGCGGAGGCAAGAGCAGAUGAGGUCCCUGCCCCACGGAGCUCCCACGUUGGCAGGAGAGAGACAGGAAUGUGAAAUCGAGCGGGGCCGCACGUGGCCGGUGGUGAAGGUUGCCAAGAGGGAAGCACAGCAGGAUAGGGAGGCGGGGACAGGAGUGGUGCGGGCUCAACAGGCUGUUCAGGGAGGGACUCACUGAGACAGUGACAUGGGGCAAGGGGCCUGAAGAAAUGAGCAGGGGGCACGAGUGUUCUGCAGGGAGCGUUCAAGGCAGAGGGCACAGCCGGUACAAGGCCCGUGUGUGCGAGGAGCAGUGGGGGCCAGAGUGGCUGCAGGGAGGUGGACGAGGGAACUGUGGGGGCCGAGGUCAGAGAGGUGACAGGACGGGAUCCGUGUACGACCUUGAGGGCCAGUGAAAGGACGCUGGCAUUCCCUGUGCGUGUCAGAGCCCUUGGAUGGGUCUGAGCACAGGAGUGACGUGCUCUGAGUUCAUUUUAGGUGACCCCUCAGGCUGUGUGCGGGGCCAGACUGUGGGGCAGAGGGCAGAAGCAGCCGGACCUGCGAGGAGGCCGCCAGGGCGGGGGCAGGAAGGUGCAGGCCGGGGUCACCAGUGCCAGCUCUGGGAUUUGCACCUGAGGGUCGGCUGACGGGAUCUGCUGAUGGAUGGGGCGGAGGCGGAGAGAUGGCAGCUUUCAAAACGGGAGCCCAAUCUUUCAACAAGCCCAAGAGAAAAACUGGCAAUGUGCAGGGGGGAAAACCUAUUUGAAAGCAUCAGAGAGCGACUUAGGCUGCCAGGACCUGAGGGACCAGCAUCUCAUACCGAGGGACAUGCACUGAGGGGAGCCCUACAUCCUCCACCUCCUUCCUCUUUGAGGAUUUCCCAAUUCGUAAGUCGGGGGUGAGUGCCGACAGAAACCGAGAACCUUUCAGCAAGCUCAUGAAUCUGGGGACAAAACACUUGAAGUUGGAGGCCCCAAGGCAGCCAGGGUUUGAGGGCCCGAGAUCUCAGAGAAGAUAGGACCCCCUAGAAGAGGCUCUGAUUUGCUGCAGUGUUUUCGCUUUUGAAGCAUUUGCUGAUUCCUAAGCUGUACAGACAUGAGGCUCAGAGGACAAGCAGAAAUUGAGCAGGUGAGAGGCCGAGAAAGUGAGCAACGUCUGCACCAAUAUCAUGACGCCCUAACAGCCGAACUUGGAGUUCGGUUGUCACCCAACAGGUGGAGCCACGGAAAAUGAACGCUGGUUUCCAUUGAGUCCUCCAACAGACUUGUUCUAGGAAGUAAGGACAAACCAAAUAAACCAGAUCUCAUAAAAAUGGAAAAUCAGUCUUGAAUCAUUACAAUCAUGGUAACCUGUCCUUACUCUAGUGGCUGUCAGGGCAAAAAAGGUAAGUCUGCUUCAGGAAAA